Molecule: ribosomal RNA, 449 nt
Filed under: uncultured bacterium
Lineage: Bacteria
Description: bacterial SSU rRNA
Rfam family: Bacterial small subunit ribosomal RNA
Source: RNAcentral
GAUGAACGCUAGCUACAGGCUUAACACAUGCAAGUCGAGGGGAAACGAUAUUGGAAGCUUGCUUCUGAUAGGCGUCGACCGGCGCACGGGUGAGUAACGCGUAUCCAACCUUCCGUACACUCAGGGAUAGCCUUUCGAAAGAAAGAUUAAUACCUGAUGGUAUGAUGAGAUUGCAUGAUAGCAUCAUUAAAGAUUUAUCGGUGUACGAUGGGGAUGCGUUCCAUUAGGUAGUAGGCGGGGUAACGGCCCACCUAGCCGACGAUGGAUAGGGGUUCUGAGAGGAAGGCCCCCCACAUUUGGAACUGAGACACGGUCCAAACUCCUACGGGAGGCAGCAGUGAGGAAUAUUGGUCAAUGGACGAGAGUCUGAACCAGCCAAGUAGCGUGAAGGAUGAAGGUCCUUAACGGAUUGUAAAACUUCUUUUANAAGGGAUAAAACCUCCCAGUGU